Molecule: ribosomal RNA, 508 nt
Filed under: uncultured bacterium
Lineage: Bacteria
Description: partial 16S ribosomal RNA
Rfam family: Bacterial small subunit ribosomal RNA
Source: RNAcentral
GAUGAACGCUAGCUACAGGCUUAACACAUGCAAGUCGAGGGGCAGCAUGGUCUUAGCUUGCUAAGGCUGAUGGCGACCGGCGCACGGGUGAGUAACACGUAUCCAACCUGCCGUCUACUCUUGGCCAGCCUUCUGAAAGGAAGAUUAAUCCAGGAUGGGAUCAUGAGUUCACAUGUCCGCAUGAUUAAAGGUAUUUUCCGGUAGACGAUGGGGAUGCGUUCCAUUAGAUAGUAGGCGGGGUAACGGCCCACCUAGUCAACGAUGGAUAGGGGUUCUUAGAGGAAGGUCCCCCACAUUGGAACUGAGACACGGUCCAAACUCCUACGGGAGGCAGCAGUGAGGAAUAUUGGUCAAUGGGCGAUGGCCUGAACCAGCCAGGUAGCGUGAAGGAUGACUGCCCUAUGGGUUGUAAACUUCUUUUAUAAAGGAAUAAAGUCGGGUAUGCAUACCCGUUUGCAUGUACUUUAUGAAUAAGGAUCGGCUAACUCCGUGCCAGCCGCCGCAGUAA